RNAcentral lists this ribosomal RNA (685 nucleotides) under Reticulitermes sp. THA. RNAcentral describes it as "partial 16S ribosomal RNA". The stretch from base 324 to 517 matches the Rfam family "Archaeal large subunit ribosomal RNA", at positions 1802 to 2101 of the family's 2987-position model. Lineage: Eukaryota; Metazoa; Arthropoda; Insecta; Blattodea; Rhinotermitidae. The record is from RNAcentral.
UUAGGGGUUUCUGGUUUUUCAAGAAAUGAAUUUAAUUCAUGCGUUUUAUUUAGAGUUUUAUUAUUUGUUUAUUUAUUUUUAUUUGGCGUUAAGAUUGGGAGGGAUUAGCUUCUUAUUUUAUUUUUAUAAUUUUUUGUUUAUUUAGUCUUGUGGGUUUUAUAUUGAUUUUCAAUUUGAUUAUGUUAAAAUUUUAUUUGUUUUGUUCUUUAUUUUUGUUUAUUUAAUUAUUUAUUGAAAUGUAUUCUUUAUCUUUGGUUUUGUCUAGUAAUUAUUGUAGAAUUAGUAAAUUUGUUGUUAGGUUGUUUUAUUUAUGUAAAUUUUUUUUAAGGAACUAGGCAAAUUUCAUGUCCGCCUGUUUAACAAAAACAUCUUUUCUCGUUAGUUUUUGAAGUAUGGCCUGCCCGCUGACUUUGGUGUUGAAGGGCCGCGGUAUUUUGACCGUGCAAAGGUAGCAUAGUCAUUAGUUCUUUAAUUGUGAUCUGGUAUGAAUGGCUUGACGAGGCAUGGGCUGUCUUAAUUUUGAAUUGUUUAUUGAAUUUAGUCUUUGAGUUAAAAUUCUUAGAUGUUUUUAUGGGACGAGAAGACCCUAUAGAGUUUAACAUUUGUUAUGGUCCCCUUUCUGUUUGUGAGGGUUCACUGGGCUGUUUAAUAUGUUUUGUUGGGGUGAUGGGAGGGAUUAAUUUAA